Molecule: ribosomal RNA, 609 nt
Filed under: Triticum aestivum (bread wheat)
Lineage: Eukaryota; Viridiplantae; Streptophyta; Magnoliopsida; Poales; Poaceae
Description: partial small subunit ribosomal RNA
Source: RNAcentral
AUGGAGAGCUCGCUGUUCCUGGUGGGGGAGAUCGGGGCCAACGACUACAACCACCCCUUCUCGCGGAACAAGACGCUUGAAUGGGUCAGGCCCCUCGUGCCACAGGUCAUCAGCUCCAUCGCUCUGUCCAUCAAGGCCCUGAUCGAGCUGGGCGCCAAGACCAUGUACGUGCCGGGCAUCUUCCCGCUGGGGUGCACCCCGCCAUACCUCGCACUCUUCCCCGGCGACGACCGCGACCCUGCCACGGGCUGCCUCUGGUGGCUCAACAACCUUAUCCUCCUCCACAACCACAUGCUGGAAGCAAGGCUGGAGGAGCUCCGCCGCGACCACCCCAGCGUGUCCAUCACCUAUGUCGACUCCUACGACAACGUCCUGGGCCUCAUCACCGCGCCUACACAAAACGGGUUCGACAAGGAAACGGUGCUGGAGGCGUGCUACCCCCUCUUUACUGCCGGGCAGGUGGCGGUGCCGUGCCCGGACCCGUCGAGGCGCGUGUCGUUCGACGGCCUGCACAUGACGGAGGCGGCGUACAAGCUCAUGGCCCGUGGGAUGCUCGACGGACCGUUCGCCGUGCCGCCCAUCAUGUCUACAUGCAACCACGGCUGCUAG